UUNAACGCUGGCGGCAUGCCUUACACAUGCAAGUCGAACGGCAGCACGGGAGCAAGUCCUGGUGGCGAGUGGCGAACGGGUGAGUAAUAUAUCGGAACGUGCCCAGUCUGGGGGAUAACGUAGCGAAAGCUACGCUAAUACCGCAUACGAUCUAUGGAUGAAAGCGGGGGAUCGCAAGACCUCGCGCGAUUGGAGCGGCCGAUAUCAGAUUAGGUAGUUGGUGAGGUAAAGGCUCACCAAGCCGACGAUCUGUAGCUGGUCUGAGAGGACGACCAGCCACACUGGGACUGAGACACGGCCCAGACUCCUACGGGAGGCAGCAGUGGGGAAUUUUGGACAAUGGGCGCAAGCCUGAUCCAGCAAUGCCGCGUGCAGGAUGAAGGCCUUCGGGUUGUAAACUGCUUUUGUACGGAACGAAACGGUGAGCUCUAAUACAGUUUGCUAAUGACGGUACCGUAAGAAUAAGCACCGGCUAACUACGUG
This 483-nucleotide ribosomal RNA is filed under the name uncultured bacterium. RNAcentral describes it as "bacterial SSU rRNA". It matches the Rfam family "Bacterial small subunit ribosomal RNA", at positions 30 to 507 of the family's 1533-position model. The record is from RNAcentral.